GCAUGGUUCAAACAUAAAGGUGGCUUCGGCUACCACUUACAGAUGGACCCGCGGCGCAUUAGCUAGUUGGUGAGGUAACGGCUCACCAAGGCAACGAUGCGUAGCCGACGUGAGAGGGUGAUCGGCCACACUGGGAGUGAGACACGGCCCAGACUCCUACGGGAGGCAGCAGUAGGGAAUCUUCCGCAAUGGACGAAAGUCUGACGGAGCAACGCCGCGUGAGUGAUGAAGGUUUUCGGAUCGUAAAGCUCUGUUGUUAGGGAAGAACAAGUACCGUUCGAAUAGGGCGGUACCUUGACGGUACCUAACCAGAAAGCCACGGCUAAUUACGUGCCAGCAGCCGCGGUAAUACGUAGGUGGCAAGCGUUGUCCGGAAUUAUUGGGCGUAAAGGGCUCGCAGGCGGUUUCUUAAGUCUGAUGUGAAAGCCCCCGGCUCAACCGGGGAGGGUCAUUGGAAACUGGGGAACUUGAGUGCAGAAGAGGAGAGUGGAAUUCCACGUGUAGCGGUGAAAUGCGUAGAGAUGUGGAGGAACACCAGUGGGGAAGGCGACUUUCUCUGGKCUGUWACUGACGCUGAGGAGCGAAAGCRUGGGGAGCGAACAGGAUUAGAUACCCUGGUAGUCCAUGCCGUAAACGUUGGGCACUAGGUGUGGGGGACAUUCCACGUUCUCCGCGCCGUAGCUAACGCAUUAAGUGCCCCGCCUGGGGAGUACGGCCGCAAGGCUAAAACUCAAAGGAAUUGACGGGGGCCCGCACAAGCGGCGGAGCAUGCGGAUUAAUUCGAUGCAACGCGAAGAACCUUACCAAGGCUUGACAUCCACCGGACCGCACUGGAGACAGUGCUUCCCUUCGGGGCUGGUGGACAGGUGGUGCAUGGUUGUCGUCAGCUCGUGUCGUGAGAUGUUGGGUUAAGUCCCGCAACGAGCGCAACCCUCGUUCUAUGUUGCCAGCACGUGAUGGUGGGGACUCAUAGGAGACUGCCGGGGUCAACUCGGAGGAAGGUGGGGAUGACGUCAGAUCAUCAUGCCCCUUAUGUCUUGGGCUUCACGCAUGCUACAAAUGGCCGGUACAAAGGGUUGCGAUACUGUGAGGUGGAGCUAAUCCCAAAAAGCCGGUCUCAGUUCGGAUUGAGGUCUGCAACUCGACCUCAUGAAGUCGAGUCGCUAGUAAUCGCAGAAUCAGCAACGCUGCGGUGAAUAGCGUUCCCGGGCCUUGCACACACCCGCCCGUCACA
RNAcentral lists this ribosomal RNA (1234 nucleotides) under Bacillus subtilis. RNAcentral describes it as "partial 16S ribosomal RNA". It matches the Rfam family "Bacterial small subunit ribosomal RNA", at positions 188 to 1401 of the family's 1533-position model. The record is from RNAcentral. Lineage: Bacteria; Bacillati; Bacillota; Bacilli; Caryophanales; Bacillaceae.